Molecule: long non-coding RNA, 1482 nt
Organism: Ictalurus punctatus (channel catfish)
Lineage: Eukaryota; Metazoa; Chordata; Actinopteri; Siluriformes; Ictaluridae
Source: Ensembl
GGUGUUUGCACUUGGACUUGUCUCUGGUGUAGUGGUGUUUGUACUUGGACUUGUCUCUGGUGUGGUGGUGUUUGUACUUGGACUUGUCUCAGGUGUAGUGGUGUUUGUACUUGGACUUGUCUCGGGUGUAGUUGUUUGUAUUUGGACUUGUCUCUGGUGUAGUGGUGUUUGCACUUGGACUUGUCUCAGGUGUAGUUGUGUUUGUACUUGGACUUGUCUCUGGUGUAGUGGUGUUUGGACUUGUCUCUGGUGUAGUGGUGUUUGCACUUGGACUUGUCUCUGGUGUAGUGGUGUUUGCACUUGGACUUGUCUCAGGUGUAGUUUUGUUUGUAUUUGGACUUGUCUCUGGUGUAGUGGUGUUUGGACUUGUCUCUCGUGUAGUGGUGUUUGUACUUGGACUUGUCUCUGGUGUAGUGGUGUUUGGACUUGUCUCUCGUGUAGUGGUGUUUGUACUUGGACUUGUCUCUGGUGUAGUGGUGUUUGCACUUGGACUUGUCUCAGGUGUAGUUGUUUGUAUUUGGACUUGUCUCUCGUGUAGUGGUGUUUGUACUUGGACUUGUCUCUGGUGUAGUGGUGUUUGUACUUGGACCUGUCUCAGGUGUAGUGGUGUUUGUACUUGGACCUGUCUCAGGUGUAGUGGUGUUUUGUAUUUGGACUUGUCUCAGGUGUAGUGGUGUUUGUAUUUGGACUUGUCUCAGGUGUAGUGGUGUUUGUAUUUGGACUUGUCUCUGGUGUAGUGGUGUUUGUAUUUGGACUUGUCUCAGGUGUAGUGGUGUUUGUAUUUGGACUUGUCUCAGGUGUAGUGGUGUUUGUAUUUGGACUUGUCUCAGGUGUAGUGGUGUUUGUAUUUGGACUUGUCUCAGGUGUAGUUGUGUUUGUACUUGGACUUGUCUCUGGUGUAGUGGUGUUUUGUAUUUGGACUUGUCUCUGGUGUAGUUGUGUUUGUACUUGGACUUGUCUCAGAUGUAGUGGUAUUUGCACUUGGACUUGUCUCAGAGGUAGUUGUGUUUGUAUUUAGACUUGGACUUGUCUCUGGUGUAGUGGUGUUUGUGCUUGGACUUGUCUCUGGUUUAGUGAUAUUUGUAUUUUGACUUGUCUGAGGUAGUGGUAUUUGCACUUGGACUUGUCUCUGGUGUAGUGGUGUUUGUAUUUGGACUUGUCUCUGGUGUAGUGGUGUUUGUAUUUGGACUUGUCUCUGGUGUAGUGGUGUUUGUACUUGGACUUGUCUCUGCUGUAAUGGUGUUUGUACUUGGAGUUGUCUCUGGUGUAGUGGUGUUUGUACUUGGACUUGUCUCUGGUGUAGCAGUAUUUUGUACUUGGACAUGUCUCUGGUGUAGCCAUACUUGUACUUGGACAUGUCUCCGGUGUCGUGGAAUUUGUACUUGGACUUGUCUCUGUUGUCUGAUGAGAAAUAAUUCCUUCUUCAGUCUAUUCUUGGACUUGACAAUGAUCUGAAAUGUAGUGAACCUAAAGAGUAUUUAC